AACUGUUAAAUGCAAUCGUGAGUGUUUUUUACCAAUUAUAUUUGCUUAAAAUGACAUCGACAGCUCAUAAGAGAAGCUGACCCAAUGGUACCUCCCACGGUGAGGUUGCUGAAGCAAAAAUUUCUUUUGCCGCUUGCCGCUCCACUGAGGUCAAAAGAAACAUCAGCUUUACACAAAACAUGGAGCGGUUGAUUGCAUUUGUUACAUGAUGUAUGCUACAGCUAACGGACGACUGGCUCAUGGAUAUUCCCCAUUGCUCACGUACGGAUAGUUGAUAACAUCCAGGUGCAAAAAAUCGCAGUGCAGCUAGAAUUUAUCGAAAUCGCUGUUAUUCUGGGACUCCUAAGAUGACUGUCAAGCUGAGAAAUUAGGUCCUCAUCAAGUCAGAAGUUAAC
This is a long non-coding RNA of Anastrepha ludens (Mexican fruit fly), 395 nucleotides long. RefSeq lists it as uncharacterized. Lineage: Eukaryota; Metazoa; Arthropoda; Insecta; Diptera; Tephritidae. The transcript has 3 exons. The record is from RefSeq and is a predicted model, not a curated record.